This is a long non-coding RNA of Bos taurus (domestic cattle), 421 nucleotides long. NCBI's taxonomy places the organism in Eukaryota, Metazoa, Chordata, Mammalia, Artiodactyla, Bovidae. The record is from Ensembl.
AGUUCUUUCUGGCUGACUCCAGCCACCCUAAAGCCCUCCAUUCCUUCCCUGGCCAUGACACAGCAAAUCCUAGGGAGAGACCAAGGCUCCAACCUGACCAUCCCCACCAAAAGGAUGAGCAAGUAGGUUCCAUGCAGUAAGAUGGCCUCAUUCACCUGGGAUCUGAAUCCAAGAGCCAGGCUCCUGAUCAGUCGGUCAUGUCCAAGUCCCUACAGACCUAAGAGGUCUUGGUCGUGGCACACAGGAUUUUUGAUCUUCAUUGCCUCAUGUGGGAUCUAGUUCCCCGACCAGGGAUCAAGCCUGGACCCGCUGCAUUGGGAAUGCAGAGUCUUAGCCACGGGACCACCAGGGAAGUCCCGUGGCUUCUUAUUUUUAAUGUCCUUCCCAGACCUUUCAACCUCAUCCAGGUCUUCAUUAUUGC